UUUUUUUAUGUGUUACAUAUUUGUUUUUCGUUAAUUUUUUUACAUAAAUAAGGCCGUUAGUUUUCUCGUUUGAAUUGUUUUACAUUGUUUUAUCGGGGCCUUUUAUAGCUGACUAUGCGGUAUGGGCUUUGCUCAUUGUUGAAGGUCGUACGGUGACCUAUAGUUGUUAAUGUCUGUGUCAUUUUGGUCUUUUGUGGAUAGUUGUCUCAUUGGCAAUCAUACCACAUCUUCUUUUUUAUAUUAACAUCGCUCAU
RNAcentral lists this long non-coding RNA (254 nucleotides) under Mytilus galloprovincialis (Mediterranean mussel). Lineage: Eukaryota; Metazoa; Mollusca; Bivalvia; Mytilida; Mytilidae. The record is from RNAcentral.